RNAcentral lists this ribosomal RNA (1056 nucleotides) under alkali sediment metagenome. RNAcentral describes it as "bacterial SSU rRNA". It matches the Rfam family "Archaeal small subunit ribosomal RNA", at positions 404 to 1467 of the family's 1478-position model. The record is from RNAcentral.
UGGCUUUUACCCAGUCUAGAACGCUGGGGGAAUAAGGAGAGGGCAAGUCUGGUGUCAGCCGCCGCGGUAAUACCAGCUCUCCGAGUGGUGUGGACGUUUAUUGGGCCUAAAGCAUCCGUAGCUGGCUGAACAAGUCCCCUGUUAAACCCACCGAUUUAAUCGUUGGUCUGCGGGGGAUACUGCUCGGCUAGGGGACGAGAGAGGCAGACGGUAUUCCCGGGGUAGGGGUGAAAUCCUAUAAUCCCGGGAAGACCACCAGUGGCGAAGGCUGUUUGCUAGAACGCGCCCGACGGUGAGGGAUGAAAGCUGGGGGAGCGAACCGGAUUAGAUACCCGGGUAGUCCCAGCUGUAAACGAUGCAGACUAGGUGUUUGGACGGCCACGUGCCGUUCUAGUGCCGCAGGGAAGCUGUUAAGUCUGCCGCCUGGGGAGUACGAUCGCAAGAUUGAAACUUAAAGGAAUUGGCGGGGGAGCACCACAAGGGGUGAAGCUUGCGGUUUAAUUGGAGUCAACGCCGGAAAUCUCACCGGGAGCGACAGCAGUGUGAAGGCCAGAUUAAAGGUCUUGCCAGACGAGCUGAGAGGAGGUGCAUGGCCGUCGCCAGUUCGUGCCGUGAGGUGUCCUGUUAAGUCAGGCAACGAUCGAGACCCGCGUCCUCUGUUGCAACCAGUCUUGAGCUGGGCACACUGAGGAGACCGCCACUGAUAAAGUGGAGGAAGGAGCGGGCCACGGCAGGUCAGUAUGCCCCGAAUCUCCCGGGCCACACGCGAGCUGCAAUGGCAGGUACAAUGGGUUCCGACCUCGAAAGGGGGAGGUAAUCUCGAAAGCCUGCCGUAGUUGGGAUCGUGGGUUGAAACUCACCCUCGUGAACAUGGAAUCCCUAGUAAUCGCGUGUCACUAGCGCGCGGUGAAUACGUCCCUGCUCCUUGCACACACCGCCCGUCGUUCCACCCGAGCGAUCCUUGGGUGAGGCGUGGUCUUCCUUGGCUGCGUCGAAUCUGAGUUUCGUAAGGGGGGAAAAGUCGUAACAAGGUGGCCGUAGGGGAACCUGCGGCCG